UUGAACGCUGGCGGAAUGCUUUACACAUGCAAGUCGAGCGGCAGCGCGGGGGCAACCCUGGCGGCGAGCGGCGAACGGGUGAGUAAUGUAUCGGAACGUACCCUGUCGUGGGGGAUAACACAGCGAAAGCUGUGCUAAUACCGCAUACGACCUGAGGGUGAAAGCGGGGGAUCGCAAGACCUCGCGCGAUAGGAGCGGCCGAUAUCGGAUUAGCUUGUUGGUGAGGUAAAGGCUCACCAAGGCGACGAUCCGUAGCUGGUCUGAGAGGACGACCAGCCACACUGGAACUGAGACACGGUCCAGACUCCUACGGGAGGCAGCAGUGGGGAAUUUUGGACAAUGGGGGCAACCCUGAUCCAGCCAUUCCGCGUGAGUGAAGAAGGCCUUCGGGUUGUAAACUCCUGUCAGUGGGGAAGAGAAUGGACGGUACCCACUGAGGAAGCUUCGGCUAACUACGU
This 458-nucleotide ribosomal RNA is filed under the name uncultured bacterium. RNAcentral describes it as "bacterial SSU rRNA". It matches the Rfam family "Bacterial small subunit ribosomal RNA", at positions 29 to 506 of the family's 1533-position model. The record is from RNAcentral.